Molecule: ribosomal RNA, 567 nt
Filed under: uncultured eukaryote
Lineage: Eukaryota
Description: bacterial SSU rRNA
Rfam family: Eukaryotic small subunit ribosomal RNA
Source: RNAcentral
UAUUAUAUUGUUGACUAGUUAAAAGUCUCGUAGUUGUAAAGUUUGGGUACUUUAUUGUUAUUGGUUUAUCUUUUGAUGAACUGUAUGAUGGGUUUCUUCCUACUAGAGUUCGAUUCUGUUCUUAACUGAAUGGAGUAGCUAUCUUUCGGGGGUGGUCAGUUGGUUAUUAUAUCUCCACUAAUAAGCAGAGAGGGGUUAAACCUUUGAAGUAAGUUUUGUGGGUCAAGGUAUAAUGGUGAAUUGGAGUUCUAGUUCAUUUACUUUGAGAAAAUUAGAGUGUUUAAAAGCAGCCUCUUGGGGCACUGAAUACAUUAGCAUGGGAUAAUAAAAUAGGAUCUUUACAAUAUAUUUUAUUGGUUUAAAUUGAAAUAAAGAUAAUGAUUAAUAGGGACAGUUGGGGGUAUUCAUAUUGGGUGGUUAGCGGUGAAAUGCUCGGAUCCAUUCAAGAUGAACUAAAGCGAAAGCAUUUACCAAGGAUGUUUUCAUUAAUCAAGAACGAAAGUUAAGGGGAUCGAAGACGAUUAGAUACCGUCGUAGUCUUAACUAUAAACUAUGCCGACCAGGGAU